GACGGAGAACUGCGAGGAGCUAACCCUAGUACGAGAUGAUUGGGUUGGGUUAACCUAUGUUGUACCAGUUGUUAUGCCAACAGCAGCACCGGGCAGCUAAAUUGGCAUGGAAGAAAUGUUGCGCUGCGGAAAAUCCUUUUGUAUAGAAGUUCUUGUGCAAGGUUUUUGAACGUAAUUUCGGUAGGCAAGAGGUGUAAGCACCGCGAGGUGUGAAGCGAUCUCGUACUAAAAGAAUGU
This is a ribosomal RNA of Oryza sativa Japonica Group (Japanese rice), 237 nucleotides long. It matches the Rfam family "Bacterial large subunit ribosomal RNA", at positions 2653 to 2912 of the family's 2925-position model. NCBI's taxonomy places the organism in Eukaryota, Viridiplantae, Streptophyta, Magnoliopsida, Poales, Poaceae. The record is from Rfam.